AGGACGAACGCUGGCGGCGUGCCUAACGCAUGCAAGUCGAGCGGAGUCGGUAAGAGGAAGUUUCGGAUGGAAUCUUAUUGAUUUAGCGGCGGACGGGUGAGUAACGCGUGAGCGACCAACCUUGCACAGGGGGAUAACGGACCGAAAGGUUCACUAAUACCGCAUGAGACCACGGUGUUGCAUGACACAGAGGUCAAAGGAGCAAUCCGGUGCAAGACGGGCUCGCGUUCGAUUAGGUAGUUGGAGGGGUAACGGCCCACCAAGCCUAUGAUCGGUAGCCGACCUGAGAGGGUGAUCGGCCACAUUGGAACUGAGAUACGGUCCAAACUCCUACGGGAGGCAGCAGUGGGGAAUAUUGGGCAAUGGGGGGAAAAACCCCUGACCCAGCAACGCCGCGUGAAGGAAGAAGGUUUUCGGAUUGUAAACUUCUGUCCUUGGUGAAGAGAAGAAGACGGUAGCCAAGGAGGAAGCCCCGGCUAACUACGUGCCAGCCGCUGC
This 498-nucleotide ribosomal RNA is filed under the name uncultured bacterium. RNAcentral describes it as "bacterial SSU rRNA". It matches the Rfam family "Bacterial small subunit ribosomal RNA", at positions 26 to 518 of the family's 1533-position model. The record is from RNAcentral.